RNAcentral lists this ribosomal RNA (217 nucleotides) under Clostridioides difficile. RNAcentral describes it as "partial 23S ribosomal RNA". It matches the Rfam family "Bacterial large subunit ribosomal RNA", at positions 1278 to 1494 of the family's 2925-position model. Lineage: Bacteria; Bacillati; Bacillota; Clostridia; Peptostreptococcales; Peptostreptococcaceae. The record is from RNAcentral.
CAGUAGGGGAGUGAGAAUGUUGGCAUGAGUUGCGAGAUGUGGGUGAGAGUCCCACAGGCCGUAAACCCAAGGUUUCCAGGGGAAGGGUCGUCCGCCCUGGGUUAGUCGGGACCUAAGCUGAGGCCGAAAGGUUUAGGUGAUGGACAACAGGUUGAUAUUCCUGUACUACCGAUAACCGUUUGAGAGAAGGGAUGACACAGUAGGAUAAGCUAAGCAC